GCUUCUAGAUGGACCCGCCUAGCAUUAGCUAGUUGGAGAGCCAAGGGGUCACCAAUGCCGCGACGCGUAGACGACCUCCGAGGGUGAUCGGCCACACUGGGACUGAGACACGGCCCAGACUCCUACGGGAGGCAGCAUUAGGGAAUCUUCCGCAAUGGACGAAAGUCUGACGGAGCAACGCCGCGUGAGUGAUGAAGGUUUUCGGAUCGUAAAGCUCUGUUGUUAGGGAAGAACAAGUACCGUUCGAAUAGGGCGGUACCUUGACGGUACCUAACCAGAAAGCCACGGCUAACUACGUGCCAGCAUCCGCGGGAAUACGUAGGUGGGAGGGGUUGUCCGGAAUUAUUGGGCGUAAAGGGCUCGCAGGCGGUUUCUUAAGUCUGAUGUGAAAGCCCCCGGCUCAACCGGGGAGGGUCAUUGGAAACUGGGGAACUUGAGUGCGGAAGAGGAGAGUGGAAUUCACGUGUAGCGGUGAAUGCGUAGAGAUGUGGAGGACACCAGUGGCGAAGGCGACUUCUGGACUGUAAUGACGCUGAGGAGCGAAAGCGUGGGGAGCAAACAGGAUUAUAUACCCUGGUAUUCCACGCCGCAACGAUGAGUGCUAAGUGUUAGGGGGUUCGGCCGCAUAUAGCUGCAGCUAACGCAUUAAUGCACUCGGCCUGGGGAGUACGGACGCCAGACUGAAACUCAAAGGGAUCGACGGGGGGCCGGGACAACGUGGAUGCAUGUGGUGUAAUUCGAAGCAACCGGCAAAGAACCUAACCAAGACUCUUGAAACUCUCUCCUGACAAUUCUCU
RNAcentral lists this ribosomal RNA (797 nucleotides) under Bacillus sp. GS33. Its description in RNAcentral is "bacterial SSU rRNA". It matches the Rfam family "Bacterial small subunit ribosomal RNA", at positions 217 to 1002 of the family's 1533-position model. The record is from RNAcentral. Lineage: Bacteria; Bacillati; Bacillota; Bacilli; Caryophanales; Bacillaceae.